GCGGCUGUAGCUCAGCUGGAUAGAGCAACAGGCUACGAACCUGUAGGCCAGGAGUUCGAAUCUCUUCAGCCGCACCA
Molecule: transfer RNA, 77 nt
Filed under: Bilophila sp.
Lineage: Bacteria; Pseudomonadati; Thermodesulfobacteriota; Desulfovibrionia; Desulfovibrionales; Desulfovibrionaceae
Also listed under: 2 other names
Description: tRNA-Arg
Rfam family: tRNA
About the family: Transfer RNA (tRNA) molecules are approximately 80 nucleotides in length. Their secondary structure includes four short double-helical elements and three loops (D, anti-codon, and T loops).
Source: RNAcentral